Molecule: unclassified non-coding RNA, 1536 nt
Filed under: Leishmania donovani
Lineage: Eukaryota; Euglenozoa; Kinetoplastea; Trypanosomatida; Trypanosomatidae
Description: gene:unknown
Source: RNAcentral
CGCCCCUCUUUCCACCUUUCAUGCCUCGCCCUCCCUCCUCUACCAGAUGCAAAGGGAUCUGAGUGCUCUGUGCAUGCCCUCUCCCUUUCUCGGCUGAGUGUUCUCUGGCUUCAAACGCUGCCCACAGUCACCUCAUCGCUACACUCUCUUGUUCAUCUCAAGCUUCUCCGUGUCCUCUCUUCGACUCUGCGGAAGGAUGCCUGUUGUGAAGGGCCCUGCAGAUUCCUUGAGGAUGGAAGGCUUGUGCUAUACUUCCUCUGUUGACAGCGCUGGAUAUGACGGGCACGACAACGCAGCAGCAGCAGCAGCGGAAGUCUCGCAGUGCAUCAGCUGUGACAGGAAGGCAUUCGGCUCAGACGCUUUUUCCGCCUCUGUCGUGCUUUUCGCCCCCUCCCCUCUCUCCCUCCCUCAUGUGCUGCAGAGUCUGUGCCUUUUUUUGUCUUGGAAGCUUGGACAGGAAUGAAGGAGAGAUGACCGGAAAACGGAUAUGAUGAUGAGAUGUGAGCGGGCAUGCUCUCCGCCGCUCCAACGGCACGCAUCGCCAGCCAUGCGUCUUCUGCUUACCGCAUUUUGUUCUUCUACUCCUUUCAUGCCUCGAGGGAUCGGCCCAUCGCACGCUUUGGAUUCUCCCCCGCCAACCCCUUUGAUUGCCCACCAUGGCAGGGAUCGUUGGGUGACGGAAAAGGCGGAUGCCUAGGUCUACUUACUCGCGGGUAGUCUUGCCCGAUGGUGCCUUGAAGGCAACGGAAGGCUCACGGAGUGCUCUGCCAGCGUUAGCGGUAUGGAGAGCGCGAGCGGAGGGAUACGGUGUCGGUAUAGUGCUCCAGGGAGAUAGGAAACUCGCCAGUUGGGAUCAGUUGGGCGCAUGCAUCGGAAUACAUCGUGCUUAUAUCUUAGCACCAUCCUCUCUCCUCCUCCUAUCCGUACGCGUGUACAGUGAGCAAGCAUCCCCCCGCACGCAUGCAGGUCGCUGGCCCGCACGACCAACUCGUUGAACGACCCUUGUGUGCGCGACUGGCUCUCUCUCUUCGUGAAACUUGUUGAGGGAGCAAAGCAGGGAAAAAUGCGAAAACAUCUGGUCUCUUUCUCUGCCUCCUGCCCUGCACAUGGCUCUCCUCCGCUUCUUCCACUUCUUUUUCGCUGUGUGUUCGAAUGCGUGUCUCCGAAACCGACCGGAUGAUUCGAUGCAGCGGUAACGGAAAUGAGACGCGUUGUUUUGUUCAGCACAGACGCGGCGUGCGAGGUUGCGUGAAGCUGUGCGUGCAUCGCAGAGGCGCACUGCGCGAGGAGGCUGAUCUGUCGUACGCUCGCUGAGCUCUACUAGCGCCCCUCUCCUUUCCGCCUCUCUUAAUUUCUGUAGCGCACACCUAUACAUGUUCUUUCUUUUUCCUUCGCUGCGCGGGGGCCCAUCUCGGUUUCCGCCACCGUACCCGCUACCACUUCUUGAGUCACCCACCUCCUCACCUCCCUGCUUCCUCCUCCUCCACGGCGCAUGUGUCGUCUGUCUGGCAACCCCCUCUCAACCCUUUUCUUCAG